AGUGGGGGAUAACUAGUCGAAAGAUUAGCUAAUACCGCAUAAGACCACGAGAACUGAGGUUCAUGAGGUCAAAGGAGCAAUUCGCUCGAAGAUGAGCCCGCGUAAGAUUAGCUAGUUGGUGAGGUAACGGCUCACCAAGGCUGUGAUCUUUAACUGGUCUGAGAGGAUGAUCAGUCACACUGGAACUGAGACACGGUCCAGACUCCUACGGGAGGCAGCAGUAGGGAAUAUUGCGCAAUGGGCGAAAGCCUGACGCAGCGACGCCGCGUGAGUGAUGAAGGCCUUCGGGUCGUAAAGCUCUGUUGCAGGGGAAUAAAAAAAUGAAGGUACCCUGUGAGGAAGGAUCGGCUAACUUCGUGCCAGCAGCCGCGGUAAGACGAGGGAUCCUAGCGUUGCUCGGAAUCAUUGGGCGUAAAGAGGGCGUAGGUGGCUUGGUAAGUCAGGUGUGAAAGCCCAGGGCUCAACCCUGGAAGUGCAUUUGAUACUACUGAGCUUGAGUGUUAGAGAGGUUACCGGAAUACCUGGUGUAGUGGUGAAAUACGUAGAUAUCAGGUGGAACACCGGAGGCGAAGGCGGGUAACUGGCUAAACACUGACACUGAGGCCCGAAAGCGUGGGGAUCAAACAGGAUUAGAUA
RNAcentral lists this ribosomal RNA (636 nucleotides) under Bdellovibrio sp. R4. RNAcentral describes it as "bacterial SSU rRNA". It matches the Rfam family "Bacterial small subunit ribosomal RNA", at positions 135 to 784 of the family's 1533-position model. The record is from RNAcentral. Lineage: Bacteria; Pseudomonadati; Bdellovibrionota; Bdellovibrionia; Bdellovibrionales; Pseudobdellovibrionaceae.